Molecule: small RNA, 750 nt
Filed under: Oryza sativa Japonica Group (Japanese rice)
Lineage: Eukaryota; Viridiplantae; Streptophyta; Magnoliopsida; Poales; Poaceae
Description: sRNA Os10g0422050
Source: RNAcentral
GCUCCUCUUCAAGCUUUAGCAGGACAUACUGUAUCUUCUGAAGUUCCAGUUCCAAUCUCCCCACGUUUUCCGAUCCUUUCUGGACCUGUCCGGAUAUUUUCCUCCUACUGGGGUACCCUUCUUGCUCCGCGUUCAUGCUAUCUGAUAGCGCAGGAUAUGCUGACGGUGUUGUAUUCGGAGUUCAUGGGCGAUUUCCCGUUUGAUGGGCUCCCCAUUUUCCGCUUCAGCUCCUUGAUGCUCACUUGGAUGCUCUGCAACCUCUGAGCAUCAGAAGAGAGCUUCUCCAGUACAUUGUUGCUCCAUUGCUCAUGAGGCUCUACAGAUGAUGUCGACACCUCAAGCUUAUUGAUUCCAAGGUCUCUUCCCCUUGCUAGCUCAGAGGAAGGCUUCCCACAGCUGCAGCAUCUCGUCAUCCAUCCCAGCAUUCGCGCCAUUCUUAAGUGGGUAGAGCGCAGCUCCAGUGCCAUAUGGUGGACAUGUGGAUAUUUGAUCAAGUUCGAUAUCCUUCAUCAUCUGUACCUGCUUCCCUUUGGAGCCCUCGACGUUGUUCAGCUUCUCAUUGUCGGAGUAUAUUUCCCUUGCCUCCAUCUGCGACCCGCCUCUUGCUUUAAGCUCUUGAAUAUCUCUGUGUGCUGCUGCCAACGUAGCAGCAGACUUGGUUGACUCCUGAUCAUGAAGAUCUUUGGCAUUUCGAAUAGCAACUUGAAGUGCUCCCAUUCUUGCAAUUAACCGCUGUAGCUCUGGAGUUCC